RNAcentral lists this ribosomal RNA (468 nucleotides) under uncultured bacterium. Its description in RNAcentral is "partial 16S ribosomal RNA". It matches the Rfam family "Bacterial small subunit ribosomal RNA", at positions 28 to 507 of the family's 1533-position model. The record is from RNAcentral.
GACGAACGCUGGCGGCGUGCUUAACACAUGCCAGUCGAACGGAAAGGCCCUGCUUGUGUGGGGUGCUCGAGUGGCGAACGGGUGAGUAACACGUGAGUAACCUGCCCUUGACUUUGGGAUAACUUCAGGAAACUGGGGCUAAUACCGGAUAGGAGCUCCUGCUGCAUGGUGGGGGUUGGAAAGUUUCGGCGGUUGGGGAUGGACUCGCGGCUUAUCAGCUUGUUGGUGGGGUAGUGGCUUACCAAGGCCUUGACGGGUAGCCGGCCUGAGAGGGUGACCGGCCACAUUGGGACUGAGAUACGGCCCAGACUCCUACGGGAGGCAGCAGUGGGGAAUAUUGCACAAUGGGCGGAAGCCUGAUGCAGCAACGCCGCGUGCGGGAUGACGGCCUUCGGGUUGUAAACCGCUUUCGCCUGUGACGAAGCGUGAGUGACGGUAAUGGGUAAAGAAGCACCGGCUAACUACGUG